Molecule: ribosomal RNA, 463 nt
Filed under: uncultured bacterium
Lineage: Bacteria
Description: bacterial SSU rRNA
Rfam family: Bacterial small subunit ribosomal RNA
Source: RNAcentral
CUACGGGAGGCAGCAGUGGGGAAUUUUGGACAAUGGGCGAAAGCCUGAUCCAGCAAUGCCGCGUGUGGGAAGAAGGCCUUCGGGUUGUAAACCACUUUUGUACGGAACGAAACGGUCUGCUUUAAUACAGUGGGCUAAUGACGGUACCGUAAGAAUAAGCACCGGCUAACUACGUGCCAGCAGCCGCGGUAAUACGUAGGGUGCGAGCGUUAAUCGGAAUUACUGGGCGUAAAGCGUGCGCAGGCGGUUAUAUAAGACAGUUGUGAAAUCCCCGGGCUCAACCUGGGAAUUGCAUCUGUGACUGUAUAGCUAGAGUACGGUAGAGGGGGAUGGAAUUCCGCGUGUAGCAGUGAAAUGCGUAGAUAUGCGGAGGAACACCGAUGGCGAAGGCAAUCCCCUGGACCUGUACUGACGCUCAUGCACGAAAGCGUGGGGAGCAAACAGGAUUAGAUACCCCGGUAGC